GACGAACGCUGGCGGCGUGCCUAAUACAUGCAAGUUGAGCGAUGAAGCUUGGUGCUUGCACCAAUUUGAAGAGCAGCGAACGGGUGAGUAACGCGUGGGGAAUCUGCCUUUGAGCGGGGGACAACAUUUGGAAACGAAUGCUAAUACCGCAUAAUAACUUUAAACAUAAGUUUUAAGUUUGAAAGAUGCAAUUGCAUCACUCAAAGAUGAUCCCGCGUUGUAUUAGCUAGUUGGUGAGGUAAAGGCUCACCAAGGCGAUGAUACAUAGCCGACCUGAGAGGGUGAGCGGCCACACUGGGACGGUGACACGGCCCAAACGGCUUCAGGUGGCAGCAGGAGGGAAUCGUCGGCAAGGGACGAAAGUCUGAGCGAGAAACGCCGCGGGAGGGAAGAAGGGUGUCGGAUCGGAAAACUCGGUUGGUAGGGAAGAAAGUUGGUGAGAGUGGAAAGCUCAGCAAGUGACGGUAACUACCCAGAAAGGGACGGCUAACUACGUG
RNAcentral lists this ribosomal RNA (497 nucleotides) under uncultured bacterium. RNAcentral describes it as "partial 16S ribosomal RNA". It matches the Rfam family "Bacterial small subunit ribosomal RNA", at positions 28 to 507 of the family's 1533-position model. The record is from RNAcentral.